RNAcentral lists this ribosomal RNA (461 nucleotides) under uncultured Treponema sp. Its description in RNAcentral is "partial 16S ribosomal RNA". It matches the Rfam family "Bacterial small subunit ribosomal RNA", at positions 341 to 792 of the family's 1533-position model. The record is from RNAcentral. Lineage: Bacteria; Pseudomonadati; Spirochaetota; Spirochaetia; Treponematales; Treponemataceae.
ACGGAAGGCAGCAGCUAAGAAUAUUCCGCAAUGGGGGAAACCCUGACGGAGCGACGCCGCGUGGAUGAUGAAGGCCGGAAGGUUGUAAAAUCCUUUUAUUACCGAGGAAUAAGCAUUUCAGGGAAUGGGAGUGUGGUGACUGUAGGUAAUGAAUAAGCAACGGCUAAUUACGUGCCAGCAGCCGCGGUAACACGUAAGUUGCGAGCGUUGUUCGGAAUUAUUGGGCGUAAAGGGCAUGUAGGCGGCCGCUCAAGUCUGGAGUGAAAUGCACGGGCUCAACCCGUGAACUGCUUUGGAAACUGGGGGGGGCUAGAGUCGCCGAGGCGGAGCCGGAAUUCCAGGUGUAGGGGUGAAAUCUGUAGAUAUCUGGAAGAACACCGAUGGCGAAGGCAGGCUUCGAGCGGACGACUGACGCUGAGGUGCGAAGGUGCGGGGAGCAAACAGGAUUAGAUACCCUGGUA